This 450-nucleotide ribosomal RNA is filed under the name Kalmusia variispora. RNAcentral's name for it is "eukaryotic LSU rRNA". The stretch from base 103 to 256 matches the Rfam family "5.8S ribosomal RNA". Lineage: Eukaryota; Fungi; Ascomycota; Dothideomycetes; Pleosporales; Didymosphaeriaceae. The record is from RNAcentral.
AGCACCUUUCGUUCUCCUUCGGCGGGGCAACCCGCCGCUGGAACCUAAUCAAACCUUUUUUUGCAUCUAGCAUUACCUGUUCUGAUAAAAAACAAUCGUAACAACUUUCAACAAUGGAUCUCUUGGCUCUGGCAUCGAUGAAGAACGCAGCGAAAUGCGAUAAGUAGUGUGAAUUGCAGAAUUCAGUGAAUCAUCGAAUCUUUGAACGCACAUUGCGCCCCUUGGUAUUCCAUGGGGCAUGCCUGUUCGAGCGUCAUCUACACCCUCAAGCUCUGCUUGGUGUUGGGCGUCUGUCCCGCCUCUGCCCGCGGACUCGCCCCAAAGGCAUUGGCAGCGGUCCACGGCCCCUCUCGCGCAGCACAUUGCGCUUCUCGAGGCGGCCCGGCCCGCAUCCACGAAGCCACAUUACCGUCUUUGACCUCGGAUCAGUAGGGAUACCCGCUGAACUUA